Molecule: transfer RNA, 73 nt
Filed under: Spirochaetales bacterium
Lineage: Bacteria; Pseudomonadati; Spirochaetota; Spirochaetia; Spirochaetales
Also listed under: 1 other name
Description: tRNA-Lys
Rfam family: tRNA
About the family: Transfer RNA (tRNA) molecules are approximately 80 nucleotides in length. Their secondary structure includes four short double-helical elements and three loops (D, anti-codon, and T loops).
Source: RNAcentral
GGGCCGCUAGCUCAGCUGGUAGAGCAACGCCCUUUUAAGGCGUGGGUCAAUGGUUCGAAUCCAUUGCGGCUCA